This 301-nucleotide ribosomal RNA is filed under the name uncultured bacterium. RNAcentral's name for it is "partial 16S ribosomal RNA". It matches the Rfam family "Bacterial small subunit ribosomal RNA", at positions 509 to 807 of the family's 1533-position model. The record is from RNAcentral.
CAGUCGCCGCGGUAAUACGUAGGUGGCAAGCGUUGUCCGGAAUUAUUGGGCGUAAAGCGCGCGCAGGCGGUUUCUUAAGUCUGAUGUGAAAGCCCCCGGCUUAACCGGGGAGGGUCAUUGGAAACUGGGAGACUUAGAGUGCAGAAGAGGAGAGUGGAAUUCCAUGUGUAGCGGUGAAAUGCGUAGAUAUAUGGAGGAACACCAGUGGCGAAGGCGACUCUCUGGUCUGUAACUGACGCUGAGGCGCGAAAGCGUGGGGAGCAAACAGGAUUAGAUACCCCGUGUAGUCCCUGUCUCUUAU